AUUGAACGCUGGCGGCAUGCCUUACACAUGCAAGUCGAACGGCAGCACGGGAGCAAUCCUGGUGGCGAGUGGCGAACGGGUGAGUAAUAUAUCGGAACGUGCCCAGUCGUGGGGAUAACGUAGCGAAAGCUACGCUAAUACCGCAUACGAUCUAUGGAUGAAAGCGGGGGAUCGCAAGACCUCGCGCGAUUGGAGCGGCCGAUAUCAGAUUAGGUAGUUGGUGAGGUAAAGGCUCACCAAGCCGACGAUCUGUAGCUGGUCUGAGAGGACGACCAGCCACACUGGGACUGAGACACGGCCCAGACUCCUACGGGAGGCAGCAGUGGGGAAUUUUGGACAAUGGGCGCAAGCCUGAUCCAGCAAUGCCGCGUGCAGGAUGAAGGCCUUCGGGUUGUAAACUGCUUUGUACGGAACGAAACGGUGAGCUCUAAUACAGUUGUCUAAUGACGGUACCGUAAGAAUAAGCACCGGCUAACUACGUCG
This 483-nucleotide ribosomal RNA is filed under the name uncultured bacterium. RNAcentral describes it as "bacterial SSU rRNA". It matches the Rfam family "Bacterial small subunit ribosomal RNA", at positions 30 to 508 of the family's 1533-position model. The record is from RNAcentral.